UAACGGGUAACGGGGAAUUAGGGUUCGAUUCCGGAGAGGGGGCCUGAGAAAUGGCCACCACUUCCAAGGAAGGCAGCAGGCGCGCAAUUUAUCCAAUCCUAAUUCAGGGAGAUAGUGACAAGAAAUACCAAUACAGGACCAAUGGUGCUGUGUUUGGAAUGAGUGUAAUUUAAAAACCUUAUCGAGGAACCAUUGGAGGGCAAGUCUGGUGCCAGCAGCCGCGGUAAUUCCAGCUCCAAUAGUGUAUACUAAAGUUGCUGCAGUUAAAAAGCUCGUAGUUGGAUUUCGGUUAAUAGGAUGGUAGUCUACUUUCUAUAAGUACGCACUUCCAGCCUAUUUCCUUCUUUUCGGAUAUACUAUUUUAUAGUGUUCCGAAUCUUUUACUUUGAGAAAAUUAGAGUGUUCAAAGCAGGCGUAACCAAGCCUUUGAAUAUAUUAGCAUGGGAUAAUGAAAUAAGACUUUUGCCUUAUUCUCGUUGGUUUCUGAGGCUAAAGUAAUGAUUAAUAGGGAUAGUUGGGGUCAUUAGUAUUUAAUUGUCAGAGGUGAAAUUCUAAGAUUUAUUAAAGACUAACUACUGCGAAAGCAUUUGACAAGGAUGUUUUCAUUAAUCAAGAACGAAAGUUGGGGGAUCGAAGAUGAUCAGAUACCGUCGUAGUCUCAACCAUAAACUAUGCCGACCAAGGAUUCGGGGGUGUUAUAUGAAUGACCCUCCGGGCACUUAUAGAGAAAUCAUAAGUAUUUGGGUUCCGGGGGGAGUAUGGUCGCAAGGCUGAAACUUAAAGGAAUUGACGGAAGGGCACCACCAGGAGUGGAACUUGCGGUUUAAUUUGACCCAACACGGGAAAACUUACCAGGUCCAGACACAGUGAGGAUUGACAGAUUGAGAGCUCUUUCUUGAUUUUGUGGGUGGUGGUGCAUGGCCGUUUCUAGUUGGUGGAGUGAUUUGUCUGGUUAAUUCCGUUAACGAACGAGACCUUAACCUAUUAAAUAGUUACAUGAACCUGGACUCUGUCCAACAGUUCAUGGGUAACUUCUUAGAGGGACUCUUCACGUAAAUAGUGAAUGGAAGUUUGAGGCAAAAACAGGUCUGUGAUGCCCUUAGAUGUUCUGGGCUACACGCGUGUUACACUGACAUAUUCAACAAGCAUUAUUAUUCCUUACCCGAUGGGGUUGGGUAAUCUUUUAAAUGUAUGUCGUGAUGGGGAUAGAGCCUUGUAAUUAUUGCUCUUGAACGAGGAAUUCCUAGUAAGUGCAGGUCAUCAACCUGCGCUGAUUACGUCCCUGCCCUUUGUACACACCGCCCGUCGCUCCUACCGAUGAAUGGUCCGGUGAGGACUCAGGAUGACCUUGGAUUUUGGUUAUAAAAUGCCAUUCCACUGCUUGUCAGAAUCUGUUCAAACCUUAUCAUUUAAAGGAAGGAGAAGUCGUAACAAGGUU
Molecule: ribosomal RNA, 1438 nt
Filed under: metagenome
Description: SSU rRNA
Rfam family: Eukaryotic small subunit ribosomal RNA
Source: RNAcentral